This 1394-nucleotide long non-coding RNA is filed under the name Capra hircus (goat). RNAcentral's name for it is "lncRNA (ENSCHIG00000007258.1)". The record is from RNAcentral. Lineage: Eukaryota; Metazoa; Chordata; Mammalia; Artiodactyla; Bovidae.
GCUCCCGCCAGCGGCCGGCCCACACCGGCCCUCCCGCUACGCACGUGCGCAGGGGUCUCCCAGGCAGAGCCCCGGUCCCCCAAACCAAGUGCGCCCAACUUACUGAACUCCUGGGGCGGGCCGGCGGGCGGGCGGAAGGAAGAAAGCAGGCCGGGCGGCCGCGGGGACAGCCUGGCGUGGGAGGCGGCUUCGGGCCCCACCUGGCGCAGCCUCGGCGGACCGCGCGAAGGGACCGGGGUUCGGGCCCGACGCGCUCCCAAAGAGUCCCCGCCGACGCUGACGCGGAAGCGCCACAGCUCACCACGUCCCUCCGCGGCCCGAGGCGACGCGGCGGCUCACGGCGUCCCUCCGCGCUGUGGAACUGGGCGGGCGGGCAGCGCGCGGGCGCAGGCAGUUGACAGGAGGAACCGCCCCGCAGCCGCUGCUGCCGCCACCGAAGGAGCUGGAACCGAAGAGGGCAGGACCUGAGGCGCCCCUCGCCCGGGCAACGGCUGCCGCUGGAGCCCGGCUCCCCCCCAGCGUCGCUCCACCUGCAACGGUCCCUCAGGCUUUUGGAGAGGGGCGCGAAAGGAUGGGGGUUUCUCCCCACCUUGGGCCCUUUCUGGUAGUAGUUGUUGUUUCAGGAAACUUUAUUAAGUCAGUCUCUCGCUUUCUCGGUCUCCCCCUCCCCGAAGAGCCUGAGCUACCGCCGCGGAGCGAGUAGGAAGGGGGAAGCAGAGACUCUCCGGCAGCGACAGGGAGCGAGUGACUGACCCCGGACGGAGAUGGGGCGAGGGCAGGAAGUGACAAGCUCUCGGAGUGGGUGGGGGGAGUGUGGCCGGCACGCCCGGGAGCGUCACGCGCAUGCGCCCGGCCCGGCGCCCCCGCCGGUGGGGAGGCGACGCGCGGCGGCUGGGCAGGGAGAGGGAGACCGGGCUGGCGGCGCGGGGCUGACAGCCGGUUGUCUUCCACUCGCGGCUCUCGCAAGCGUCCCCGGCGGACGAGGGGCCGAAGUCCUGGGCUUCGCGGGCCAAGAGCUGUAAGGAAGUACUAACUAUCAUCUAAGAACAGCAGGAAAUGGCAACCCACUCCAGUAUUCUUGCCUGGAGAAUCCCAUGGACGGAGGAGCUUGGUGGGCUACAGUACAUGGGUCGCAAAGAGUCGGACACGACUGAGCAACUUCACUUUCACUUCAAGAACAGCAAAGGGUUUUAUGUUAUUCAGAAACUAAUGGAACUACUCUAUUUGUUCUUUUAUUAGGCCCCAGUAACAGUAAUUGAGAAAAAUUAAUUCUCUGAUUCAAGAAAAACUUAUUAAGCACCUACUAGGCAAUAUCCUGGUCUCUGGAGAUCUGAUUUAUUAAGAAGACACAAUUACUGUCCUUGAUAUAAAGAAGUCUAUUAACGAAAUUCUCU